Molecule: ribosomal RNA, 503 nt
Filed under: uncultured bacterium
Lineage: Bacteria
Description: bacterial SSU rRNA
Rfam family: Bacterial small subunit ribosomal RNA
Source: RNAcentral
GACGAACGCUGGCGGCGUGCCUAACACAUGCAAGUCGAGCGGAGACAUCCAAGUAGCAAUACGAAGAUGUUUUAGCGGCGGACGGGUGAGUAACGCGUGAGUAACCUGUCCCAAACUGGGGGAUAACGAGCCGAAAGGCUCACUAAUACCGCAUAAGACCACGGAGUCACAUGGCUUUGAGGUCAAAGGAGCAAUCCGGUUUGGGGUGGACUCGCGUCUGAUUAGCUAGUUGGUGGGGUAACGGCCUACCAAGGCGACGAUCAGUAGCCGACCUGAGAGGGUGAUCGGCCACAUUGGAACUGAGACACGGUCCAAACUCCUACGGGAGGCAGCAGUGGGGAAUAUUGGGCAAUGGAGGAAACUCUGACCCAGCAACGCCGCGUGAAGGAAGAAAGGUUUUCGGAUCGUAAACUUCUAUCCUUGGUGAAAAUAAAAGAUAGGUAGCCAAGGAAGGAAGCCCCGGCUAACUACGUGACCAGCAGCCGCGGUAAAACGUAGACGUG